RNAcentral lists this ribosomal RNA (1265 nucleotides) under candidate division WWE3 bacterium. RNAcentral describes it as "bacterial SSU rRNA". It matches the Rfam family "Bacterial small subunit ribosomal RNA". The record is from RNAcentral. Lineage: Bacteria; candidate division WWE3.
AACUAAGAAUUUGAUCCUGGUUCAGGGUGAAUGCUAGCGGUGUGCCUAAGGUAUGCAAGUCGAACGAUUCUGCAGCAAUGCAAAGUAGUGGCGAACGGCUGAGUAACACGUGGGAAUCUACCCCUAAGUAAGGCAUAGCCCCUCGAAAGAGGGAGUAAUUCCUUAUGUGAANNUGACGGGUAGCUGGUGUUAGCGCAUGACCAGCCAGAAGGGCACUGAGACACGGGCCUUACUCCUACGGGAGGCAGCAAUCGGGAAUCUUCCACAAUGGACGAAAGUCUGAUGGAGCGACACCGCGUGAGGGAUGACGGCCCUCGGGUUGUAAACCUCGUUAUAAGCACCGGCUAACUACGUGCCAGCAGCAGCGGUCACACGUAGGGUGCAAGCAUUACCCGGUCUUACUGGGCGUAAAGAGUUCUGUAGGCGGCUAGAUAAGUUGGUGGUCAAAUACCUCGGCUCAACCGAGGAAAGGCUGUCAAUACUGUUUGGCUAGGAGGCGACUAGGGGGUAGCGGAACGUAUGGUGUAGCAGUAAAAUGCGUUGAUAUCAUACGGAACACCAAGGGGGAAGCCAGCUACCUGGGGUUGUCCUGACGCUGAGAGACGAAAGCGUGGGGAGCGAAACGGAUUAGAUACCCGUGUAGUCCACGCUGUAAACCAUGCCUGCUAGAUGCCAGAUUUUUUUGGUGUCGAAGCUAACGCGUUAAGCAGGCCGCCUGGGGAGUACGGUCGCAAGAUUAAAACUCAAAGGAAUUGGCGGGGACCCGCACAAGCGGUGGAGCAUGCUCUUCAAUUGGCUGAUAACCCAAGAACCUUACCAAGGCUUGACAUGUAUGAAGUAGUGGACCGAAAGGCGAACGACCGGUAUCCAACCCGGAGCUUACACAGGUGUUGCAUGGCUGUCGUCAGCUCGUACCGUGAGGCGUACCCUUAAGUGGGUUAACGAGCGCAACCCCUACUGCUAGUUGUAUCACUCUAGCGGAACUGCCGCGGCAACGCGGAGGAAGGUGGGGAUGACGUCAAGUCGGUAUUGCCCUUACGCCUUGGGCUAGAAGCAUGCUACAAUGGCCGGCAUAAAGGGUCGCAAAGCCGCGAGGCUGAGCUAAUCCCAAAAAACCGGUCCCAGUUCGGAUUGGAGUCUGCAAUUCGACUCCAUGAAGCCGGAAUCGCUAGUAAUCGUGGGUCAGCUAUACCACGGUGAAUACGUUCUCGGGUCUUGCACACACUGCCCGUCACGCCAGCAAAGCUGGGGCCACCCGAAGUCUC